This 102-nucleotide microRNA precursor is filed under the name Marmota monax (woodchuck). Lineage: Eukaryota; Metazoa; Chordata; Mammalia; Rodentia; Sciuridae. The record is from RNAcentral.
AGAGGGAUAGCUGGGUCCAAUGGUGGUUCCAUUCCAGAUUUCCAAGGAAUCUCCAUACUGCUUUCCAUAUUGGCUGUACCAAUUUGCAGUCCCACCAGCAAU